Molecule: ribosomal RNA, 1965 nt
Filed under: Triticum aestivum (bread wheat)
Lineage: Eukaryota; Viridiplantae; Streptophyta; Magnoliopsida; Poales; Poaceae
Description: partial small subunit ribosomal RNA
Source: RNAcentral
AUGGAGGGUGCUCUGGUGAGUGUGGCGACGGGGACCCUGAAACCCGUCCUGGGGAAGCUGGCUUCUCUGAUGGGCGACGAGUACAAGCGUCUCAAGGGGGUGCGCGGCGAGAUCAAGUUUCUGACCGAUGAGCUUACUGCCAUGCAUGCCUUUCUCCUGAAGAUGUCAGAGGAGGAGGAUCCUGAUGUACAGGAAAAAGUUUGGAUGAAUGAGGUGCGCGAGCUGUCCUACGGCAUGGAGGACUCCAUCGAUGACUUCAUGAAACAUGUAGAUGACAAUGACACAAAGCCAAGCAGCUUCAUGGAGAAGAUCAAGAACUUGUUGGGGAAGAUGAAGACUCGCCAUCGGAUUGCAAACGAGAUCCUAGAUUUGAAGAAACGUAUUAUCGAGGUGGGUGAGAGGACUGCAAGGUACAAAACUCGUGAUGCCUUCUCCAAAACCGUCAAUGUGACCGUUGACCCUAGAGCUCUUGCUAUCUUUGAGCAUGCCUCAAUGCUCGUUGGAAUGGAUGAACCGAAGGCAGAGCUAAUCAAACUCUUGACUGAAGAGGAUGGAUGUGCAUCGACACAACAUCAACAAGUGAAGAUGGUCUCUGUCGUUGGAUCUGGAGGAAUGGGCAAGACAACUCUUGCAAACCAAGUGUAUCAAGAGCUCAAAGGCAAACUCAAGUGUCGGGCUUUCGUGUCAGUGUCACGAAAUCCAGACAUCAUUAAUAUUCUAAGAACUAUUCUUGGUGAAGUUACCGGGCAACUUUAUACUGAUACAGAAGGAGGGAGUGUACAACAACUCCUCGCCAAUAUCUCCAACUUCCUUGUAGACAACAGCUACUUUAUUGUUGUUGACGAUAUAUGGAAGAAGCAAACAUGGGAUGUUAUUAAGUACGCAUUCCCCAUGGCCAGUUGUGGCAUAAUAAUCACCACUACUCGUGUGAAAGAUGUCGCUAAUUCAUGUCAAGCAUCAUUCGGUGGCCAUAUUUAUAAUAUAAGGCCUCUUGAUAUUGUUCAUUCAAGACAGUUAUUUCACGGAAGACUAUUUAACUCCAAAGAAAAUUGCCCUCCACACCUUAAAGAAGUUUCUGAUCAAAUCUUGAAAAAAUGUGAUGGGUUACCUUUGGCGAUCAUCGCUAUAUCUGGUUUGUUGGCUAACACGGAAAGAAGAGAGGGCCUAUGGAACCAAGUGAAAGAUUCAAUUGGCCGUGCACUUGAAAGAAAUUCUAGCGUUGAAGGAAUGAUGAAGAUAUUGUCACUUAGUUAUUUUGAUCUGCCUCCACAUCUGAAGACGUGUCUCUUAUAUGUGAGUAUAUUUCCGGAGGAUUCUUUUAUUGAGAAGAAUGAUAUCAUAAGUAGGUGGAUAGGUGAAGAAUUCAUUCACAAAGAAGGCAGAUAUACAUCACAUGAGAUAGGAGAAAGGUGUUUUAAUGAGCUCCUUAAUAGGGGUUUGAUUCAACCGGGGAAGACAAAUGAAUAUGGUGAGCUAGAGAGUUGCCAAGUUCAUGACACAAUUCUUGAUUUCAUCAUAUCCAAGUCCAUAGAAGAGAACUUUGUUACUUUACUAGGUGUUCCCAUUCUGACAAUUGGGACACAAAGCAAAGUCGUUCGUCGACUCGUUCUACAAGGAGUUAAUCAAGGAAAUUCAACAAUACAGCCAGCAGGUUUGGUGUUGUCCCAUGUACGAUCACUGAGUGUGUUUGGAGGUUUUGUGGAAAUCCCUUCUCUGGAGGAAUUCAAACAUCUGCGUGUUCUCAACUUGAGCCAUUACCAAUCAUUGGAAGAGCGUCAUCUUGAAAAUAUAGUGAGGUUGCCCCAGCUAAGGUACCUGAACGUCAAAAAUACAGAAAUAAGGAAGCUCCCAGAACAAAUCGGGCGUUUAAGUUGCCUAGAGUUGCUGGACCUAAGACACACUUGUGUAGAGGAAUUACCAGCAUCUGUUGUUAAUCUCAAAAAAAUUGACCCAUCUUCUUGUUGA